AAGUUCUUACUCGACUCUCCCCACACUCAGGUUCCACAACAAAUACAGGUAUAGUAGGGUUUGGGUGUCCUUUGACAACAUAAGCAUCCACUUCCCAUCUGUCUGCUAGCUUAUGUUUACCUUCAAAGGCAAGAGUUCUCACUAGCACUCUAUCACCAAUAUGUACAGCUGCUCCUCUUGCUCUUUGAUCAUAGUUCUGUUUUUGUUUUCCUUUAGACUUUUGAGUGAUAUUAGUGGCUAGCUCAUAGGAUUUCUUCAAUCUGUCACGAAGAGAGUUUGUGUAGGAUUGUAAUGACUGGCUUGUGUGAUCCCGGUCAAUUCCAAAUGCAAGGUCUAUCGGCAAUCGUGGAUGACGUCCAAACAUCAAAUAAAACGGAGAAUACCCAGUAGUUUCAUGUUUGGUACAAUUGUAGGCAUGAACUAGAGGAGACACGUGCAUUUUCCAAUCCUUCUUUUGGUCAGGUUGAAGAGUUCCAAGCAUGUUCAAAAGUGUUCGGUUGAAGCGCUCCGUCUGACCAUUACCCAUGGGAUGGUACGGUGUUGUUCUUGACUUUUUCAUUCCGGUAAUUGUACAAAGUUCUUCUAUCAGACGACUUUCAAAGUUGACACCUUGAUCUGAAUGGAUUCUUGCUGGUAAACCAUAAUGUACCACGAAAUGGUUCAGAAAUGCUUCAGCUGUUGUACGAGCAGCCAUAUUUCUAAAAAAUCUGGUUUAUUGCGAUAACAGAUUCGCCGUUGGUAUUUGCUUUACGUAAAAAAGCAUUUUCUCUAUUCUUUCUUGUCAAACAUCAUUUCUUCGACAACCUUCUCACAUGUAUCUGUAUUUUUAAAGACAACGACCAAUUCUCUAAGAAAUGGGUUUUUUUUUGUGGCGAUUUCUGAAAUUACAUUUUACUCCACACUUCUCAUUUCGUCACACAUGACACUGCAGUUUUUCAAACUAAGUAACAACCCUCGGUCUGAAUUCUGAAUUAACAGCAUGUCUACAGUCAAACUAAACAUCGUAUAUAUUAUGAUAUAUCGUUACAAGUGCGAGGUCCACAUCCCCUGUUUAUUAAUAACUAACUAUAUAUGCACGGUUUGUACAGGUAAUCUGCAAUAUCAGUAAGGUAGUCUUUUAAAGCAGGCUUCGGGAUGGAGUAUAUUAAGAGAGGAUAUCGUAAUUAUUGUCUGUUAUUGGAAUAUCAUGUAUAAGUGAUCAAUAUUGAUCGUAACACAUACAUGAUUUUAUCUGGAUGACAGACUUCACACAACCACAAAUCAAAGCACGGCUAUUCAGCGAAUAUGUUCGCAGAAUACAUUUAAUUUGGUUGACUUGAUAUCUGUAAUGUAUUCUUUCUGCUUCAAAAGCCAUACGGAGUUUCAGUAGGCCCCGUCGCAUAAGGCACGUCAUUCAUGUGGCCGUAGGGUCCUAUAUCGGUUCGCCCCGAUUAUCAUUAAAGUUAUAAACGUCUCAGACGUCCAGUGUGGUUUACCGGCCUCAUCAAGCUGACAAUCCGUGAUACAAACUGGGAUCCUGUUCAAAGUGAAGUUACACCAAACUCACUCGCUUGCUCCAUCACACCACAAUAAAUCCACAGGCAGGUUCUGUUCAUGUUGAAUCUUAGACAUCGGGUAGAAACACAGUGCGGUGACAGAUGUUUCAAAAAUUGAGAGUCGCUUGAUAUAUGUCAUAUAUUCUCAGAGUACAAUCUUGUGUUCGGUUACUAGACUAAUUUAUCGUAAUAUGUCACAUGUUAAGAAACUACAUUCAUAUCUAUGCGUCAAAUCAUUCAGUGCCACACAACAAAGAUGGCUGUUACACUGUUACCUGUACAAACGUACUGCUCUUACUUUUUCAACAAAACACCAAAACAAAAUACAACCUAUGCAUACGGCAACAAUGGUAUUGUAGUAUAUUUACCUGUCUUAUUUUUCACUUUUUUCGAAAACUCAAAAUUGAAACAGUGGCCCAUGGGCGAAACUAUUUACGCUUCCUCACAAUUCAUGUUUUGGAUGUAAAUAAGUAUCAUGACACAACAUUCAACUCAUUUAAACUUGAUUUAGCUA
RNAcentral lists this long non-coding RNA (2049 nucleotides) under Haliotis rubra (blacklip abalone). Its description in RNAcentral is "uncharacterized LOC124265739". The record is from RNAcentral. Lineage: Eukaryota; Metazoa; Mollusca; Gastropoda; Lepetellida; Haliotidae.